RNAcentral lists this ribosomal RNA (475 nucleotides) under uncultured Pseudomonadota bacterium. RNAcentral's name for it is "bacterial SSU rRNA". It matches the Rfam family "Bacterial small subunit ribosomal RNA", at positions 97 to 570 of the family's 1533-position model. The record is from RNAcentral. Lineage: Bacteria; Pseudomonadati; Pseudomonadota.
GGCGGACGGGUGAGUAACGCGUAGGAAUCUACCUAAUGGGGGGGAUACCCAGGGAAACUUGGAUUAAUACCGCAUAAGUCCUAAGGGAGAAAGCGGGGGAUCUUCGGACCUCGUGCCAUUAGAUGAGCCUGCGUAAGAUUAGCUAGUUGGUGAGGUAAGAGCUCACCAAGGCGACGAUCUUUAGCUGGUCUGAGAGGAUGAUCAGCCACACUGGGACUGAGACACGGCCCAGACUCCUACGGGAGGCAGCAGUGGGGAAUAUUGGACAAUGGGGGCAACCCUGAUCCAGCCAUGCCGCGUGUGUGAAGAAGGCCUUCGGGUUGUAAAGCACUUUCAGAUGUGAGGAAAGGUUGCAGAUUAAUACUCUGUAGCUGUGACGUUAACAUCAGAAGAAGGACCGGCUAACUCCGUGCCAGCAGCCGCGGUAAUACGGAGGGUCCGAGCGUUAAUCGGAAUUACUGGGCGUAAAGCGCGC